Molecule: ribosomal RNA, 1420 nt
Filed under: Pediococcus pentosaceus
Lineage: Bacteria; Bacillati; Bacillota; Bacilli; Lactobacillales; Lactobacillaceae
Description: bacterial SSU rRNA
Rfam family: Bacterial small subunit ribosomal RNA
Source: RNAcentral
AUGAACGCUGGCGGCGUGCCUAAUACAUGCAAGUCGAACGAACUUCCGUUAAUUGAUUAUGACGUACUUGUACUGAUUGAGAUUUUAACACGAAGUGAGUGGCGAACGGGUGAGUAACACGUGGGUAACCUGCCCAGAAGUAGGGGAUAACACCUGGAAACAGAUGCUAAUACCGUAUAACAGAGAAAACCGCAUGGUUUUCUUUUAAAAGAUGGCUCUGCUAUCACUUCUGGAUGGACCCGCGGCGUAUUAGCUAGUUGGUGAGGUAAAGGCUCACCAAGGCAGUGAUACGUAGCCGACCUGAGAGGGUAAUCGGCCACAUUGGGACUGAGACACGGCCCAGACUCCUACGGGAGGCAGCAGUAGGGAAUCUUCCACAAUGGACGCAAGUCUGAUGGAGCAACGCCGCGUGAGUGAAGAAGGGUUUCGGCUCGUAAAGCUCUGUUGUUAAAGAAGAACGUGGGUAAGAGUAACUGUUUACCCAGUGACGGUAUUUAACCAGAAAGCCACGGCUAACUACGUGCCAGCAGCCGCGGUAAUACGUAGGUGGCAAGCGUUAUCCGGAUUUAUUGGGCGUAAAGCGAGCGCAGGCGGUCUUUUAAGUCUAAUGUGAAAGCCUUCGGCUCAACCGAAGAAGUGCAUUGGAAACUGGGAGACUUGAGUGCAGAAGAGGACAGUGGAACUCCAUGUGUAGCGGUGAAAUGCGUAGAUAUAUGGAAGAACACCAGUGGCGAAGGCGGCUGUCUGGUCUGCAACUGACGCUGAGGCUCGAAAGCAUGGGUAGCGAACAGGAUUAGAUACCCUGGUAGUCCAUGCCGUAAACGAUGAUUACUAAGUGUUGGAGGGUUUCCGCCCUUCAGUGCUGCAGCUAACGCAUUAAGUAAUCCGCCUGGGGAGUACGACCGCAAGGUUGAAACUCAAAAGAAUUGACGGGGGCCCGCACAAGCGGUGGAGCAUGUGGUUUAAUUCGAAGCUACGCGAAGAACCUUACCAGGUCUUGACAUCUUCUGACAGUCUAAGAGAUUAGAGGUUCCCUUCGGGGACAGAAUGACAGGUGGUGCAUGGUUGUCGUCAGCUCGUGUCGUGAGAUGUUGGGUUAAGUCCCGCAACGAGCGCAACCCUUAUUACUAGUUGCCAGCAUUAAGUUGGGCACUCUAGUGAGACUGCCGGUGACAAACCGGAGGAAGGUGGGGACGACGUCAAAUCAUCAUGCCCCUUAUGACCUGGGCUACACACGUGCUACAAUGGAUGGUACAACGAGUCGCGAGACCGCGAGGUUAAGCUAAUCUCUUAAAACCAUUCUCAGUUCGGACUGUAGGCUGCAACUCGCCUACACGAAGUCGGAAUCGCUAGUAAUCGCGGAUCACCAUGCCGCGGGUGAAUACGUUCCCGGGGCCUUGUACACACCGCCCGUCCACCC